Non-coding RNA from Dipodomys ordii (Ord's kangaroo rat), 70 nucleotides. NCBI's taxonomy places the organism in Eukaryota, Metazoa, Chordata, Mammalia, Rodentia, Heteromyidae. The record is from Rfam.
GGGAAUGUGACUUGGUGGUAGAGUGCUUGCCUAGCAUGCAUGAAGCCCUGGGUUCGAUUCCUCAGUACCA